Molecule: long non-coding RNA, 458 nt
Filed under: Zea mays
Lineage: Eukaryota; Viridiplantae; Streptophyta; Magnoliopsida; Poales; Poaceae
Description: long non-coding RNA (ZMAY_LNC001952)
Source: RNAcentral
AUCAGUUUUCACCUUUCACUGGCCCUUUCUUUGAAGGCCUGGAUAUUCCCCUUCUAUCCUAUUGCAUGAUCUGGAAUAGAAGCUGAGAAGUCAGAUCUGCAGUUACAGAGCCUGAAAUAAAAAGAUGAGCGGUUAGCGCCUUUAAUUUACGCCUCCAGGCAGCAGAGAACCCGGUCAGAGGCGACGAACAAGGCGGCAGCGCGGCUGCUAGGGUUUCCAAGGUCUGCUUCCUUCGGUCGGCAGCAUCCCUCAGCCCUUGGGAUUACAAAAGAAAACCCCCACGUCUCUCCCGAGAGGCACUGAUGACAAUAAAAGAAGGAACUGAACUCCACCACCUGUCUGUUUGGCUACCACUCCCCAUUUCUACGUACUCCACAGUACUAUUUCUCUGUUCGAAUCCACUGGCCCCCACGAGGUCGUUGCCUCCCUCCCCCCUCCCUCCCCCACCCCCACAAAAC